This is a long non-coding RNA of Alligator mississippiensis (American alligator), 1938 nucleotides long. RefSeq lists it as uncharacterized. The transcript is spliced from 4 exons. Lineage: Eukaryota; Metazoa; Chordata; Crocodylia; Alligatoridae. The record is from RefSeq and is a predicted model, not a curated record.
CACAUUAGCUCCUGCUGAAGAGAUCUCCUUUCUGCUUGUGCUACCCAAGAUAAGGAAAAUGCUGCCAUCAACAAGAUGAAGUCACAUUUCUCCACAUCAGGAGCCCCUCCUGCCAUUGUGAUCCUGCUGGGAUGGCCGAUCUCCUCCGGCGGGCUUUAAACUAGGCUCAUCGGGGGAAGGGGAAGUUGAGGACGGAGGGAGCCACAGAACACCGAACAAAGAGCCACCCACAAGAGCAGCCCAGCUGAGACAAGCAAUGAGCACAACAAAUACCCAGGAGGUGCACACUCCCACCAGGGGAAAUGCCUUGUUGGACCUGGUCCUGGCCACAGGUGACGACCUGGUGAGUGGACUGCGGGUUCUUGACCACCUGAGCGAUAGCGAUCAUCGCCUGCUGGAAUUCGCCAUCUGGCGCAGGGUGUCAAAGGCCUGCAGCAAGCCAACAGCCCUAGACUUCAGGAGGAUGGAUUUCAAUGAGCAGCUCUUUCUGGAUGUCCCUCCACCACGCCAUUCCUUAUGUGAAAGAAGCAGAACAUUCAUCUGACAUAUAAAACGUGCCUUUCUCCAAGUCCAUUGACACCACUAUCAACUGGUCACUCAAAUUUGUUGUCCUACUUGCUUCUGCUUUUUUUUCCUCUAACUGCAUCCAGAUUUUCCCCAAUCUAGUCACGCUUAAUCCUAUUGCAUUUAGAAAAUGUCUCCAUUUCUAUCCAUCCCGGCUUUUAACAUCCUUGCCCUGAAGGAUGUCUUGCCCUGUCUUGUCUUGCCAACAGUACACAAAAGCCAUCCUUGAAACCAAGUUUGGCCGCUAAAGAAAUGUUUCAGCCAUGUCUCCUUUUCCUUUUAUUCCAGGGCUGAGUGGUAAUGGUAUAGGAGCCCUAAGAGCAACCCUAAGCAAUCCUGGGAGACGGGUGGUUGUACUGGUCCACUUGCACCCCCAUUCAAUUCCUGCUCCACCCAAAGUUUAAAAACCAACUACUUGGCAAUGGCAGCAGCGUUUCUAGUCAGGCGGAGCUGAGGGAGUCAAUUGACUUCAUGGCUUGCUGUCAUCUACCUGAUCCCUUCUAAACACUUCAUUCCACAGGUGUUAACCCUCUCUUCUUUUUAAUGGUUUUGAUGUUCCGCCAGUCAAGCUAGCCUUUGUUCCGCAGUGCUGUCUGUUAGCUGCUCCUGGUAAUGAAGCUCUUAUUUCAUAGCCCUGCAGAUUGUUUUUAGCACAUUCCAAAGUUGUGUUUGUUUUUGCUUCAAUCUUAUCCUAAAUAACAUAGCCCUGAGCCUCAAGCAUAUUAGUGAAGCAUCUACUUUAUAUUUAACUGAAGAAAAAUAUGCUUUGUUUUAUAUAUGAUGAUGCACCUUACCAUCUGCACCCCACAUUUCAAAAUUCUAGAUCCGCCCAUGCUUGGAGAAAUCUAUAAUUGUUCCCUUAAGAAUUAAGGAGCACAAAUACACAUAAUUGGGAUGAGCUUCUGGCACUAUAUGUACAAAAUUACUUAGUCUAGAGUCCCUACUAUUUUUGGCCUCAUAGGAGAGGAAUACCUUUUAGGAUUUUUUUCUUUGUAGAAAGAAGAAGGUUGCUUAGCUAUGAAAAGGAGUUCUCAAUGUUAAAAGAGUGCCAUUGCAGCUUGUGUUCAUUAUCCAAGUUCAGACAUCCAGGGGCUUAAGGGGAGAUUGAAGCCUUGCUCAUUUUGGCUCUACACCAAAUGCAGAUUAGCUGACCCAAAAUGCACUCAGAAAAAUGAGAAAAAUCUUGAAAAAAAAUAAAGAGUAAUUUCAAACAAUGGGAGGCCUGGCUGUACACCAGUUCUCACCAGCAGCAGAAUGCACAAUGCUGCAGAUUUGCUGGUGUUUUGCACUCAUACUGAACUAUGGUUGGUACAACAAUCUCUGGACAAUGGUAAAUUGGUCAAAAUGCAUUAAAGUUUAUCCUGUUAAACCUUC